RNAcentral lists this ribosomal RNA (2925 nucleotides) under Escherichia coli. RNAcentral describes it as "23S ribosomal RNA". It matches the Rfam family "Bacterial large subunit ribosomal RNA". The record is from RNAcentral. Lineage: Bacteria; Pseudomonadati; Pseudomonadota; Gammaproteobacteria; Enterobacterales; Enterobacteriaceae.
GGGUUGUGAGGUUAAGCGACUAAGCGUACACGGUGGAUGCCCUGGCAGUCAGAGGCGAUGAAGGACGUGCUAAUCUGCGAUAAGCGUCGGUGAGGUGAUAUGAACCGUUAUAACCGGCGAUUUCCGAAUGGGGAAACCCAGUGUGUUUCGACACACUAUCAUUAACUGAAUCCAUAGGUUAAUGAGGCGAACCGGGGGAACUGAAACAUCUAAGUACCCCGAGGAAAAGAAAUCAACCGAGAUUCCCCCAGUAGCGGCGAGCGAACGGGGAGGAGCCCAGAGCCUGAAUCAGUGUGUGUGUUAGUGGAAGCGUCUGGAAAGGCGCGCGAUACAGGGUGACAGCCCCGUACACAAAAAUGCACAUAUUGUGAGCUCGAUGAGUAGGGCGGGACACGUGGUAUCCUGUCUGAAUAUGGGGGGACCAUCCUCCAAGGCUAAAUACUCCUGACUGACCGAUAGUGAACCAGUACCGUGAGGGAAAGGCGAAAAGAACCCCGGCGAGGGGAGUGAAAAAGAACCUGAAACCGUGUACGUACAAGCAGUGGGAGCCUCUUUAUGGGGUGACUGCGUACCUUUUGUAUAAUGGGUCAGCGACUUAUAUUCUGUAGCAAGGUUAACCGAAUAGGGGAGCCGAAGGGAAACCGAGUCUUAACUGGGCGUUAAGUUGCAGGGUAUAGACCCGAAACCCGGUGAUCUAGCCAUGGGCAGGUUGAAGGUUGGGUAACACUAACUGGAGGACCGAACCGACUAAUGUUGAAAAAUUAGCGGAUGACUUGUGGCUGGGGGUGAAAGGCCAAUCAAACCGGGAGAUAGCUGGUUCUCCCCGAAAGCUAUUUAGGUAGCGCCUCGUGAAUUCAUCUCCGGGGGUAGAGCACUGUUUCGGCAAGGGGGUCAUCCCGACUUACCAACCCGAUGCAAACUGCGAAUACCGGAGAAUGUUAUCACGGGAGGCACACGGCGGGUGCUAACGUCCGUCGUGAAGAGGGAAACAACCCAGACCGCCAGCUAAGGUCCCAAAGUCAUGGUUAAGUGGGAAACGAUGUGGGAAGGCCCAGACAGCCAGGAUGUUGGCUUAGAAGCAGCCAUCAUUUAAAGAAAGCGUAAUAGCUCACUGGUCGAGUCGGCCUGCGCGGAAGAUGUAACGGGGCUAAACCAUGCACCGAAGCUGCGGCAGCGACACUAUGUGUUGUUGGGUAGGGGAGCGUUCUGUAAGCCUGUGAAGGUGGCCUGUGAGGGUUGCUGGAGGUAUCAGAAGUGCGAAUGCUGACAUAAGUAACGAUAAAGCGGGUGAAAAGCCCGCUCGCCGGAAGACCAAGGGUUCCUGUCCAACGUUAAUCGGGGCAGGGUGAGUCGACCCCUAAGGCGAGGCCGAAAGGCGUAGUCGAUGGGAAACAGGUUAAUAUUCCUGUACUUGGUGUUACUGCGAAGGGGGGACGGAGAAGGCUAUGUUGGCCGGGCGACGGUUGUCCCGGUUUAAGCGUGUAGGCUGGUUUUCCAGGCAAAUCCGGAAAACCAAGGCUGAGGCGUGAUGACGAGGCACUACGGUGCUGAAGCGACAAAUGCCCUGCUUCCAGGAAAAGCCUCUAAGCAUCAGGUAACAUCAAAUCGUACCCCAAACCGACACAGGUGGUCAGGUAGAGAAUACCAAGGCGCUUGAGAGAACUCGGGUGAAGGAACUAGGCAAAAUGGUGCCGUAACUUCGGGAGAAGGCACGCUGAUAUGUAGGUGAAGCGACUUGCUCGUGGAGCUGAAAUCAGUCGAAGAUACCAGCUGGCUGCAACUGUUUAUUAAAAACACAGCACUGUGCAAACACGAAAGUGGACGUAUACGGUGUGACGCCUGCCCGGUGCCGGAAGGUUAAUUGAUGGGGUUAGCGGUAACGCGAAGCUCUUGAUCGAAGCCCCGGUAAACGGCGGCCGUAACUAUAACGGUCCUAAGGUAGCGAAAUUCCUUGUCGGGUAAGUUCCGACCUGCACGAAUGGCGUAAUGAUGGCCAGGCUGUCUCCACCCGAGACUCAGUGAAAUUGAACUCGCUGUGAAGAUGCAGUGUACCCGCGGCAAGACGGAAAGACCCCGUGAACCUUUACUAUAGCUUGACACUGAACAUUGAGCCUUGAUGUGUAGGAUAGGUGGGAGGCUUUGAAGUGUGGACGCCAGUCUGCAUGGAGCCGACCUUGAAAUACCACCCUUUAAUGUUUGAUGUUCUAACGUUGGCCCGUAAUCCGGGUUGCGGACAGUGUCUGGUGGGUAGUUUGACUGGGGCGGUCUCCUCCUAAAGAGUAACGGAGGAGCACGAAGGUUGGCUAAUCCUGGUCGGACAUCAGGAGGUUAGUGCAAUGGCAUAAGCCAGCUUGACUGCGAGCGUGACGGCGCGAGCAGGUGCGAAAGCAGGUCAUAGUGAUCCGGUGGUUCUGAAUGGAAGGGCCAUCGCUCAACGGAUAAAAGGUACUCCGGGGAUAACAGGCUGAUACCGCCCAAGAGUUCAUAUCGACGGCGGUGUUUGGCACCUCGAUGUCGGCUCAUCACAUCCUGGGGCUGAAGUAGGUCCCAAGGGUAUGGCUGUUCGCCAUUUAAAGUGGUACGCGAGCUGGGUUUAGAACGUCGUGAGACAGUUCGGUCCCUAUCUGCCGUGGGCGCUGGAGAACUGAGGGGGGCUGCUCCUAGUACGAGAGGACCGGAGUGGACGCAUCACUGGUGUUCGGGUUGUCAUGCCAAUGGCACUGCCCGGUAGCUAAAUGCGGAAGAGAUAAGUGCUGAAAGCAUCUAAGCACGAAACUUGCCCCGAGAUGAGUUCUCCCUGACUCCUUGAGAGUCCUGAAGGAACGUUGAAGACGACGACGUUGAUAGGCCGGGUGUGUAAGCGCAGCGAUGCGUUGAGCUAACCGGUACUAAUGAACCGUGAGGCUUAACCUUACAACGCCGAAG